AUAACAUCGUUUCCACAAUUACACCCAAUACCCUCAUGGUAAGUGUAAUGGUCGACCUAUGAAUACAAGUUAAAUUACUAGUUUUUUUUAGUCAUCUUCCCUUUCUACUUGUAUCUUUCCAUUCCAAUUCAACUACUUUCCUAGACAUGCACUGCAUUACCGAAUCGCUCAUGGCUAUUAGUUAGUCGUCUUCCCUUUCUACUCGAAUCUUUCCAUUCCAAAUCAACUGCUUUCUUAGACAUGCACUGCAUUGCUGAAUCACUCAUGACUAUUAGUAACAUGCUAAAGUAGCAACACUGAUUGGCACUUCAAGUAACAGUAAAAGGUCAAAGGGUAUUCCAAUUAAAGUUAAUGUAACUUCUUUGGGAUCUCACACAAUGAAGAAGCAGGGAUUCAUUCGUCCAUUAUUCCAUUGGUCGAUAGCACACGUGGUAUGAAACACAGGUUACGGUGUUCUCACC
RNAcentral lists this long non-coding RNA (461 nucleotides) under Nicotiana benthamiana. RNAcentral describes it as "long non-coding RNA (NBEN_LNC033907)". The record is from RNAcentral. Lineage: Eukaryota; Viridiplantae; Streptophyta; Magnoliopsida; Solanales; Solanaceae.